CCUACGGGUGGCUGCAGUGGGGAAUAUUGCACAAUGGGCGAAAGCCUGAUGCAGCGACGCCGCGUGAGUGAAGAAGUAAUUCGUUAUGUAAAGCUCUAUCAGCAGGGAAGAAAUGACGGUACCUGAGUAAGAAGCCCCGGCUAACUACGUGCCAGCAGCCGCGGUAAUACGUAGGGGGCAAGCGUUAUCCGGAUUUACUGGGUGUAAAGGGAGCGUAGACGGCAGGUCAAGUCUGGAGUGAAAGGCGGGGGCUCAACCCCCGGACUGCUCUGGAAACUGUACGGCUGGAGUGCAGGAGAGGUAAGUGGAAUUCCUGGUGUAGCGGUGAAAUGCGUAGAUAUCAGGAGGAACACCAGUGGCGAAGGCGGCCUGCUGGGCUUUAACUGACGCUGAGGCUCGAAAGCGUGGGGAGCAAACAGGAUUAGAUACCCUGGUAGUC
This 439-nucleotide ribosomal RNA is filed under the name uncultured bacterium. RNAcentral's name for it is "partial 16S ribosomal RNA". It matches the Rfam family "Bacterial small subunit ribosomal RNA", at positions 338 to 795 of the family's 1533-position model. The record is from RNAcentral.